UUCCUUAUGUACGUCAUACGUAACAUGGCCGCUUUCAUAAUAAUUUCGAAUUUGACUUAUCUGUAGCUUGUUGUGUUCUUUUUGCUACGUUUUUCAACCCGCAUUUCGCUUAAACUUGCUCGGAUGAAAGCUCUACAGAAUGCCCAAAUAUUACGAGGAUAAAGAGGACGACGGCCGCGCCUGCGCUGGUUUGAGAGAAGAUUUCAAAGCCUGUUUCCUUCAGCAUGACUGUGUAGCGAAGGAGGGUAAGAAGCCCAGUGAGUGUCUGAAGGAAGGACACUGCAAAGGCUUGCAUGUGGCUUUCUUUGAGUGCAAGAGAUCUAUGCUGGACACCAGAUCUCGAUUCAGAGGCCGAAAGGGAUACUGAAUAACACCUUCAACGUGAAUAACAUGUUUGUAUCAAAAUGCCAAGACAUGCUCUCAAAUGUGAUAUCGAGAUGAUCUGUAACCAUCAUUCCCCGCCAGCUCUACAGUGACAGCUCUGUGUUCAGUUUCAGUGAUAUACAUGUCUUCUGUGGCUGCUGCCAUGGCAUAAGAAUCACAGGAGACAAAUCCCUGCCCAUCCACCAGCUUCUUUUCAAUCCUCUCGCUGUAGGUGGACUCCAUGAUGUUCUUAAAGAUCUGCUUCAUAAACCGAGCUUUAUCUGUCCCUUGAGCCAGCCAACCAUCACAGAACUCCUGAAACAGACAUGUGCAGAUAUUGUAUAAUAUAACAUCUAUAUGGCUGCCUAUUCAGGAAUGUAUAAACCACCAACAGUAAUUACAUGAUCAUCUAUAUACAUUCUAAUAAUGUUUAAGAGAUGAGAAUCUCACCCAGGGUAUUUUACUGUGACAAGUGAACUCCCAGGUUGCAAUGUAAACUGGGCAAAUGAAUUCAUUCAGAACAAUAUAUGCUGCAAAGCUCAGGAUCAGCUGCAAAGUUGUGCUCUCCACACACAGUGGUGUUUCCACGCGCUAAAGAUGAACAGAUGUUGUUCUCGAACCUGGUUUAAGUGCAUUAAAAAUAUAAAAAAUAGUCAAUGCAUAUCAGACUGAUUUGCACAGUGUACAAAUUAUUCUGGUGUAGGGCUGGGCAAGAUUGCAUUGCAUUGCAUUAAAUAAAAAAAAUAAGAUAUA
Cyprinus carpio (common carp) is the source of this 1116-nucleotide RNA transcript. It is a transcript of the gene named cytochrome c oxidase assembly factor 5, with no coding region annotated. NCBI's taxonomy places the organism in Eukaryota, Metazoa, Chordata, Actinopteri, Cypriniformes, Cyprinidae. The record is from RefSeq and is a predicted model, not a curated record.